RNAcentral lists this ribosomal RNA (465 nucleotides) under uncultured bacterium. Its description in RNAcentral is "partial 16S ribosomal RNA". It matches the Rfam family "Bacterial small subunit ribosomal RNA", at positions 28 to 507 of the family's 1533-position model. The record is from RNAcentral.
GACGAACGCUGGCGGCGUGCUUAACACAUGCAAGUCGAACGGAAAGGCCCUGCUUGCAGGGUACUCGAGUGGCGAACGGGUGAGUAACACGUGGGUGAUCUGCCCUGCACUUCGGGAUAAGCCUGGGAAACUGGGCCUAAUACCGGAUAGGAGCCAUUUUUAGUGUGAUGGUUGGAAAGUUUUUUCGGUGUAGGAUGAGCUCGCGGCCUAUCAGCUUGUUGGUGGGGUAAUGGCCUACCAAGGCGGCGACGGGUAGCCGGCCUGAGAGGGUGGACGGCCACAUUGGGACUGAGAUACGGCCCAGACUCCUACGGGAGGCAGCAGUGGGGAAUAUUGCACAAUGGGCGCAAGCCUGAUGCAGCGACGCCGCGUGGGGGAUGACGGCCUUCGGGUUGUAAACUCCUUUCGCUAGGGACGAAGCUUUUUGUGACGGUACCUAGAGAAGAAGCACCGGCUAACUACGUG